UACAGAGGCCUCGAGCGUUAGGCGGAAUCACUGGGCUUAAAGCGUGUGUAGGUGGAUGCCUAAGUACCUUGUGAAAUCCCCCGGCUUAACCUGGGAACUGCGUCUGAUACUGGGAGGCUUGAGUAUGGGAGAGGGAUGUAGAAUUCCAGGUGUAGCGGUGAAAUGCGUAGAUAUCUGGAGGAAUACCGGUGGCGAAGGCGGCAUCCUGGACCAUAACUGACGCUGAGGCGCGAAAGCUAGGGGAGCAAACGGG
This 253-nucleotide ribosomal RNA is filed under the name uncultured bacterium. RNAcentral describes it as "partial 16S ribosomal RNA". It matches the Rfam family "Bacterial small subunit ribosomal RNA", at positions 524 to 776 of the family's 1533-position model. The record is from RNAcentral.